ACUCCACGGGAGGCAGCAGUAAGGAAUAUUGGACAAUGGACGAAAGUCUGAUCCAGCCAUGCCGCGUGAAGGAUUAAGGUCCUCUGGAUUGUAAACUUCUUUUAUUUGGGACGAAAAAAGAUCAUUCUUGAUCACUUGACGGUACCAGAUGAAUAAGCACCGGCUAACUCCGUGCCAGCAGCCGCGGUAAUACGGAGGGUGCAAGCGUUAUCCGGAUUCACUGGGUUUAAAGGGUGCGUAGGCGGGUUUGUAAGUCAGUGGUGAAAUCCUGGAGCUUAACUCCAGAACUGCCAUUGAUACUAUAAGUCUUGAAUAUUGCGGAGGUAAGCGGAAUAUGUCAUGUAGCGGUGAAAUGCUUAGAUAUGACAUAGAACACCCAUUGCGAAGGCAGCUUACUACACAUAUAUUGACGCUGAGGCACGAAAGCGUGGGGAUCAAACAGGAUUAGAUACCCUGGUAGUCCACGCCCUAAACUAUGGAUACUCGACAUACGCGAUACACUGUGUGUGUCUGAGCGAAAGCAUUAAGUAUCCCACCUGGGAAGUACGACCGCAAGGUUGAAACUCAAAUGAAUUGACGGA
Molecule: ribosomal RNA, 581 nt
Filed under: uncultured Ferruginibacter sp.
Lineage: Bacteria; Pseudomonadati; Bacteroidota; Chitinophagia; Chitinophagales; Chitinophagaceae
Description: bacterial SSU rRNA
Rfam family: Bacterial small subunit ribosomal RNA
Source: RNAcentral